UACGGAGGGUGCAAGCGUUGUUCGGAAUUAUUGGGCGUAAAGCGCGCGCAGGUGGCUCAUUACGCCCGGCGUGAAAGCCCCCGGCCUAACCGGGGAGGGUCGUCGGGGACGGGUGAGCUUGAGGGUAUCAGGGGCUGGUGGAAUUCCCGGUGUAGUGGUGAAAUGCGUAGAGAUCGGGAGGAACACCCGUGGCGAAGGCGGCCAGCUGGGAUACACCUGACACUGAGGCGCGAAGGCGUGGGGAGCGAACGGGAUUAGAUACCCGCGUAGUCCCUGAGCGGGCUGG
RNAcentral lists this ribosomal RNA (286 nucleotides) under uncultured prokaryote. RNAcentral's name for it is "partial 16S ribosomal RNA". It matches the Rfam family "Bacterial small subunit ribosomal RNA", at positions 524 to 819 of the family's 1533-position model. The record is from RNAcentral.